AUACGGAGGAUCCGAGCGUUAUCCGGAUUUAUUGGGUUUAAAGGGUGCGCAGGCGGCCAUUUAAGUCAGCGGUUAAAUCGUGGGGCUCAACCCCAUUCUGCCGUUGAUACUGGGUGGCUUGAUUGCGGUCGAGGUUGGCGGAAUUCGUUGUGUAGCGGGGAAAUGCAUAGAUAUGACGAAGAACACCGAUUGCGUAGGCAGCUGACCAGACCGCAAAUGACGCUCAUGCACGAAAGUGCGGGGAUCGAACAGGAUUAGAAACCCUGGUAGUCCGCACAGUAAACGAUGAAUACUUGUUUUCGGCGAUAUAAUGUCGGAGGCAAAGCGAAAGCGAUAAGUAUUCCACCUGGGGAGUACGCCGGCAACGGUGAAACUUAAAGGAAUUGGCGGGG
Molecule: ribosomal RNA, 392 nt
Filed under: uncultured bacterium
Lineage: Bacteria
Description: partial 16S ribosomal RNA
Rfam family: Bacterial small subunit ribosomal RNA
Source: RNAcentral